Molecule: ribosomal RNA, 254 nt
Filed under: uncultured bacterium
Lineage: Bacteria
Description: partial 16S ribosomal RNA
Rfam family: Bacterial small subunit ribosomal RNA
Source: RNAcentral
UACGUAGGGGGCAAGCGUUGUCCGGAAUCAUUGGGCGUAAAGAGCUCGUAGGCGGUGUGUCACGUCGGCCGUGAAAACCUGCAGCUUAACUGUGGGCUUGCGGUCGAUACGGGCAUCACUGGAGUUCGGCAGGGGAGACUGGAAUUCCUGGUGUAGCGGUGAAAUGCGCAGAUAUCAGGAGGAACACCGGUGGCGAAGGCGGGUCUCUGGGCCGAUACUGACGCUGAGGAGCGAAAGCGUGGGGAGCGAACAGG